GGAUAUAAAAUAUCUAAAUCUUAAUUAACGAGUACAAAAUUAAAAGGGCAUACAAAAUAAUAAAACCUAAUUAAACUAAAAAGAAAGAAAUAAAAAAAAAUCCUAAUUAAAUCUAUUACAUAGAAAGUUCAUGACAAAUGAAAUAAAUAAAUUAAAUUUAAGAAUGAAUUAAGAAUAUUUUUAGUCUAUAAUAAUAGAAACUUUUUUUUUAUGAAUUUAUGGAAAAACUUAUACUA
This 236-nucleotide long non-coding RNA is filed under the name Lathyrus oleraceus (garden pea). Its description in RNAcentral is "Pisum sativum (pea) long non-coding RNA (PSAT_LNC021097)". Lineage: Eukaryota; Viridiplantae; Streptophyta; Magnoliopsida; Fabales; Fabaceae. The record is from RNAcentral.